RNAcentral lists this ribosomal RNA (500 nucleotides) under uncultured bacterium. RNAcentral's name for it is "partial 16S ribosomal RNA". It matches the Rfam family "Bacterial small subunit ribosomal RNA", at positions 30 to 523 of the family's 1533-position model. The record is from RNAcentral.
AUUGAACGCUGGCGGCAUGCUUUACACAUGCAAGUCGAACGGUAACAGGGUGCUUGCACCGCUGACGAGUGGCGAACGGGUGAGUAAUGCGUCGGAACGUGCCGAGUAGUGGGGGAUAACGCAGCGAAAGUUGUGCUAAUACCGCAUACGUACUGAGGUAGAAAGUGGGGGACCUUCGGGCCUCACGCUAUUCGAGCGGCCGACGUCUGAUUAGCUAGUAGGUGAGGUAAAGGCUCACCUAGGCGACGAUCAGUAGCGGGUCUGAGAGGAUGAUCCGCCACACUGGGACUGAGACACGGGCCAGACUCCUACGGGGGGCAGCAGUGGGGAAUUUUGGACAAUGGGCGAAAGCCUGAUCCAGCCAUGCCGCGUGUCUGAAGAAGGCCUUCGGGUUGUAAAGGACUUUUGUCAGGGAGGAAAUCCCUAGUGCUAAUAACACUGGGGGAUGACAGUACCUGAAGAAUAAGCACCGGCUAACUACGUGCCAGCAGCCGCCGUAA